RNAcentral lists this unclassified non-coding RNA (307 nucleotides) under Entoloma sp. Its description in RNAcentral is "partial internal transcribed spacer region". The stretch from base 1 to 46 matches the Rfam family "Eukaryotic small subunit ribosomal RNA", at positions 1786 to 1831 of the family's 1831-position model. Lineage: Eukaryota; Fungi; Basidiomycota; Agaricomycetes; Agaricales; Entolomataceae. The record is from RNAcentral.
AAGUCGUAACAAGGUUUCCGUAGGUGAACCUGCGGAAGGAUCAUUAUUGAAUAAACUUGGUUGGGUUGAUGCUGGCUCCUCGGAGCAUGUGCACGCUCAUUCCACUUUUAACCACCUGUGCACCUUGUGUAGAUCUGAACAACUCUCGGGGUAACUUGGUUAGAGGAUUGCUGUGUGUAAAAGCCAGCUUUCCUUGCGUUCAGAUCUAUGUCUUUAUAUACCCCAUAGAAUGUAACGGAAUGUAAUUGAUAGGCGUUACUGCCUUUAAAAUCAAAUACAACUUUCAACAACGGAUCUCUUGGCUCUC